GCUGAGGUCGCCUAGUCUGGUAGGGCGCAAGGUUGCUAACCUUGUGUGCUUUGCACUCGGGAGUUCAAAUCUCCCCCUCAGCG
RNAcentral lists this transfer RNA (83 nucleotides) under Microcaldota archaeon. RNAcentral's name for it is "tRNA-Ser". It matches the Rfam family "tRNA". From Rfam's summary of the family: Transfer RNA (tRNA) molecules are approximately 80 nucleotides in length. Lineage: Archaea; Nanobdellati; Microcaldota. The record is from RNAcentral.